RNAcentral lists this ribosomal RNA (501 nucleotides) under uncultured bacterium. Its description in RNAcentral is "partial 16S ribosomal RNA". It matches the Rfam family "Bacterial small subunit ribosomal RNA", at positions 28 to 523 of the family's 1533-position model. The record is from RNAcentral.
GUCGAACGCUGGCGGCAUGCCUUACACAUGCAAGUCGAACGGCAGCACGGGUGCUUGCACCUGGUGGCGAGUGGCGAACGGGUGAGUAAUACAUCGGAACGUACCUUAUCGUGGGGGGUAACGCAGCGAAAGCUGUGCUAAUACCGCAUACGCCCUGAGGGGGAAAGCGGGGGAUCGCAAGACCUCGCGCGAUUAGAGCGGCCGAUGCCUGAUUAGCUAGUUGGUGGGGUAAAAGCCCACCAAGGCGACGAUCAGUAGCUGGGCUGAGAGGACGAUCAGCCACACUGGGACUGAGACACGGCCCAGACUCCUACGGGAGGCAGCAGUGGGGAAUUUUGGACAAUGGGGGCAACCCUGAUCCAGCAAUGCCGCGUGAGUUAAGAAGGCCUUCGGGUUGUAAAGCUCUUUUGUCAGGGAAGAAACACCGGCUCUAACACAGUCCGGGAAUGACGGUACCUGAAGAAUAAGCACCGGCUAACUACGUGCCAGCAGCCGCCGUAA